CUACGGGGCGCUCCAGUGGGGAAUAUUGCACAGUGGGCGCAAGCCUGAUGCAGCCAUGCCGCGUGUAUGAAGAAGGCCUUCGGGUUGUAAAGUACUUUCAGCGGGGAGGAAGGGAGUAAAGUUAAUACCUUUGCUCAUUGACGUUACCCGCAGAAGAAGCACCGGCUAACUCCGUGCCAGCAGCCGCGGUAAUACGGAGGGUGCAAGCGUUAAUCGGAAUUACUGGGCGUAAAGCGCACGCAGGCGGUUUGUUAAGUCAGAUGUGAAAUCCCCGGGCUCAACCUGGGAACUGCAUCUGAUACGGGCAAGCUUGAGUCUCGUAGAGGGGGGUAGAAUUCCAGGUGUAGCGGUGAAAUGCGUAGAGAUCUGGAGGAAUACCGGUGGCGAAGGCGGCCCCCUGGACGAAGACUGACGCUCAGGUGCGAAAGCGUGGGGAGCAAACAGGAUUAGAUACCCGCGUAGUC
This 464-nucleotide ribosomal RNA is filed under the name uncultured bacterium. RNAcentral's name for it is "partial 16S ribosomal RNA". It matches the Rfam family "Bacterial small subunit ribosomal RNA", at positions 339 to 795 of the family's 1533-position model. The record is from RNAcentral.